RNAcentral lists this ribosomal RNA (429 nucleotides) under Gemmatimonadota bacterium. RNAcentral describes it as "Gemmatimonadetes bacterium partial 16S ribosomal RNA". It matches the Rfam family "Bacterial small subunit ribosomal RNA", at positions 355 to 776 of the family's 1533-position model. Lineage: Bacteria; Pseudomonadati; Gemmatimonadota. The record is from RNAcentral.
UAGGGAAUCUUCGGCAAUGGACGAAAGUCUGACCGAGCAACGCCGCGUGAGUGAAGAAGGUUUUCGGAUCGUAAAACUCUGUUGUUAGAGAAGAACAAGGACGUUAGUAACUGAACGUCCCCUGACGGUAUCUAACCAGAAAGCCACGGCUAACUACGUGCCAGCAGCCGCGGUAAUACGUAGGUGGCAAGCGUUGUCCGGAUUUAUUGGGCGUAAAGCGAGCGCAGGCGGUUUCUUAAGUCUGAUGUGAAAGCCCCCGGCUCAACCGGGGAGGGUCAUUGGAAGCUGGGAGGCUUGAGUGCAGAAGAGGAGAGUGGAAUUACAUGUGUAGCGGUGAAAUGCGUAGAUAUAUGGAGGAACACCAGGGGCGAAGGCGGCUCUCUGGUCUGUAACUGACGCUGAGGCUCGAAAGCGUGGGGAGCAAACAGG